GACGGAGGAUGCACGCGUUAUCCGGAAUGGUUGGGCGUAAAGCGUCCGCAGGAGGCUAGUCAAGUCCGCUGUCAAAGCGUGAGGCUAAACCUCAUACAGUCAGUAGAAACUGACCCGCUAGAGGGGGGUAUGGGUAGAGGGAAUUCCCAGUGUAGCGGUGAAAUGCGUAGAUAUUGGGAAGAACACCAGUGGCGAAAGCCCUCUAAUGGGCCUCACCUGACACUGAGGGACGAAAGCUAGGGGAGCGAAAGUG
This 253-nucleotide ribosomal RNA is filed under the name uncultured bacterium. RNAcentral's name for it is "partial 16S ribosomal RNA". It matches the Rfam family "Bacterial small subunit ribosomal RNA", at positions 524 to 776 of the family's 1533-position model. The record is from RNAcentral.